RNAcentral lists this ribosomal RNA (938 nucleotides) under cf. Epicoccum sp. DAF-1193. RNAcentral's name for it is "eukaryotic LSU rRNA". The stretch from base 394 to 938 matches the Rfam family "Eukaryotic large subunit ribosomal RNA", at positions 1 to 550 of the family's 3401-position model. Lineage: Eukaryota; Fungi; Ascomycota; Dothideomycetes; Pleosporales; Didymellaceae. The record is from RNAcentral.
GGCGGGUCCGCCCGCCGAUUGGACAACAUUCAAACCCUUUGCAGUUGCAAUCAGCGUCUGAAAAAACAUAAUAGUUACAACUUUCAACAACGGAUCUCUUGGUUCUGGCAUCGAUGAAGAACGCAGCGAAAUGCGAUAAGUAGUGUGAAUUGCAGAAUUCAGUGAAUCAUCGAAUCUUUGAACGCACAUUGCGCCCCUUGGUAUUCCAUGGGGCAUGCCUGUUCGAGCGUCAUUUGUACCUUCAAGCUCUGCUUGGUGUUGGGUGGUUGUCUCGCCUCUGCGUGUAGACUCGCCUUAAAACAAUUGGCAGCCGGCGUAUUGAUUUCGGAGCGCAGUACAUCUCGCGCUUUGCACUCAUAACGACGACGUCCAAAAGUACAUUUUUUACACUCUUGACCUCGGAUCAGGUAGGGAUACCCGCUGAACUUAAGCAUAUCAAUAAGCGGAGGAAAAGAAACCAACAGGGAUUGCCCUAGUAACGGCGAGUGAAGCGGCAACAGCUCAAAUUUGAAAUCUGGCGUCUUUGGCGUCCGAGUUGUAAUUUGCAGAGGGCGCUUUGGCAUUGGCAGCGGUCCAAGUUCCUUGGAACAGGACGUCACAGAGGGUGAGAAUCCCGUACGUGGUCGCUAGCCUUUACCGUGUAAAGCCCCUUCGACGAGUCGAGUUGUUUGGGAAUGCAGCUCUAAAUGGGAGGUAAAUUUCUUCUAAAGCUAAAUACUGGCCAGAGACCGAUAGCGCACAAGUAGAGUGAUCGAAAGAUGAAAAGCACUUUGGAAAGAGAGUUAAAAAGCACGUGAAAUUGUUGAAAGGGAAGCGCUUGCAGCCAGACUUGCCUGUAGUUGCUCAUCCGGGUUUUUACCCGGUGCACUCUUCUACGGGCAGGCCAGCAUCAGUUUGGGCGGUUGGAUAAAGGUCUCUGUCAUGUACCUCCUCUCGGG